Molecule: long non-coding RNA, 356 nt
Organism: Carassius carassius (crucian carp)
Lineage: Eukaryota; Metazoa; Chordata; Actinopteri; Cypriniformes; Cyprinidae
Exons: 3
Source: RefSeq, a predicted model, not a curated record
UGUCCUCAGGCAUGGGGGCCACAGUCUGGACCGCAGGCAGAUUCUUGCUGGUGACUCCAUUCACAAAGCUGGAAGAAGAGGAGGUGGACGCAUCUGUGGCUCCUGAGAGACAACAAGAGAGAAAUCACAGGUAACAACUUAACAACCGAGCCAGUGUCCACAGCACUCUGUGCAGCAGGGAGCUUCUGAUAGAUACAUCACUGCAAUGGACUGUCAUCCUGUGAAACCACAAGCUGUCAUGGGACAUCUGAGGAUGGGAAAUCUACUACGCAGCCAUCAAUCGCCGUGUCAGAGAUGGGUGUCCACCCAUAAGCAAAUACACCAAGAUGAGGGGAAGCAUCAUUACAUUACAUUUA